AUUAAUUUUCAAAAACUGACAAGGCGGAACGCGCGCUUAUUUCCUGGAAAAGAAAGGAUGACUCUCAUUGGUGAGAGAGACAUCACAGAUCAAAAUUCGUGAUGACGUCAUGGCAGACCUUCGAUUGCAGCGAAAAGAACGAAACAGCCACCUGCAAAAACACGUGCUGUACAACUACAGAAGCGAUUAGACUAGACGAGGAACUGAAAGCGCGGAAAAUCCAACUUGUCAGGCAGCAUUGUUUGAUAAAGAAAAGGAACGCUGUCUGGUAAUCACGGGAUAUAGAACUUCGCCUACGCAUUUAAGGCUAACCGGAUAUGACGACAUUAUAACCGACAGACGCAGUAUUCUGAUGUGAACACUUUCAAUUCAUUAGUUCAAUAAGGGGUUUUGGAGAGCAUUAUCAUUUCAAUAAAAAUUUCUUUCGCGAUGCAGCAAGACGGUAUUAAAACGGAAUCGACAAAGUCUAGUAUGAUUUUGAUUCCGAUAGCAUAUUCCGAAUCCGUUAAUCUACGCAAAGAUGGACCGAGAUCGACCACCUCAUAUACGAGCACGUGCAAAGUGGAAGGCGGGAAAUCUUUCUGCACUUCGGUAUAUAUAAUCACGAAAUUGAUUCCUACUCGCUUCAUCACCUAUUUAACUGUUGAAGAAAAGUGGGAAAAGUCAUCUCCGCUGUACACUUAUUCCUCGGAUGAAGUAAAUGAUGUUAAAUUAUUUACCGCUGCUGCAUCGUUAGAACCGAAACCUAUUCUUGAUGAUAAUACCGUUGAUCUUAGUGUUGAAGAGAUUUCCACACAUUAUGAAGCCAUUGAAUUCAAACAUAAAUUUACGAUGACUCUUUUUUCGGAAACCGUGAAUAUUUUUCCGAAAGAGAAGAUUCAUACGUACUGCUCGAUAUAUAUAUACGAACCUCGCGCGCAAAGUUAUUUCGUAACUGGAGUAGCACUUAUACCUGGUCAGAAAAUCUUACCAAUUGCAGAAGAUGAAUAUCCAGUUGAUGUUAAAUCAUUAAAUAGCAGUGCUGUGGAAAAUUGUUAUAAUCAAGAAACCAAUAGUGACUGUGAAAGUCCAAAAUUAAUAAAUGGUGUUAUCUAAGAACUUUUCCAUCUAUUAUUGUAACUUUAGCUGUAUUCUUGAAGAUUUACUCUAGUUUUUACUAUAUCAUUUUAUGAAAACAAAGACAACAAGAUGUUUCUGGUGAGAAAAAUAAUUCUGAAUUCAAAGGUAACCAUAAUAGUGAAUUUUUUCAUAUGUGUUUUAAGAACAAAUUUUGAAUUAUAAGUAUUACAUUUGUAUGCCAGAAAUGUUAUUUUGCAUUUUAAAUAAUCUGCCAUGUAUUUAUGUUUAUAAAGAGCUUUUAAAGCAAUUUCCUAACUGAAUAUUGUUGUAAGUGUGAAUAUAUUCAAUUUAUUAGUCAUAUUUAUGGGAAAUAAGAAAUUUUAUUAUAGUAUAAUAGGUUUGCAUUGUAAUUUGGUUGAUUAAAAAAUUUUAGAUAAUUUCUAAAAAAAUUGUGGAACAAUAAUGUAAAGAAAGUACAUUAUAAUGUAAUAAUGAACAAUAAUGUAAUAAUGUAAAUCUAAUAAUGAACAAUAAUGUAAUCUAGAUGCCUAAUAAAUCUGCAUCUACAAUUUCUAAUUUUUUUAAUCAAGUAAUAACUUUUAAUAAUCUUGUAACUGAUAUUUGAAUUUUUCAAACAUUCAAUAUAUUUUAGAUCUGGAAUCUUAUCUGAAAACAUUUAAGGGCAGUCUAUGAAAUCCCAAACCAAGUUCAUGUUUCUUUAUGUCAUUUAGCAUUAACUGUUUCACAUUUUAAUUAAAAACCUGUACUAAUUAAAUAAAAAUAUUAAAUAUACAAAAUUUUAUUAGUUCAUAUAAGCACUUUUAUGCAGAUUUAAUAAAUAUAUUAUUUAAUGAAACAGCAAGUUCAACCACUAAUUCUACUUUACUAUUUUCAUAACCUAUUGAAUAGUAUCUUGUGGGUUAGUUAAAUAAUUAACUGAUCUUUGCAAUAUUUAAUUAAACAUAAAAGUAAUAUAAAGCUUUUUACCUAGUCCACAUAUUUUUGUAGUGUUUAAUUAAACCAAGUGGUAAAAUCCUAGUAUAUGGUACGCCUUGGCAGGAUUAUGAAAACUGUCGCCAAUACCAAAAUGACUCAUUUACAGCUCAUCCUAAACACCAUGUUUACUGCUCAUCAUAAUGUUGCCAAAUCCUGUAUAUACCGUAUACUAGGAUUAAACUCGCAACACUAUACAAAUUGCAUUUAGUAUUUUUUGAUUGUUUCGGUUUUCAUGAAGUUAAUGCUUCUAAGGGCACUUGAGGUAAACUAAUAGCAGACAGAAUAGUAGGUGCGGAGGGGGUGUGACCAAUUGUCACAUGGUCCAAAUCCAGUUAGGAACUUUAUUUCUCAGCAGUUUGAUUAGCUUUGUACAUAAUAGACAAAGAAAAUGUAAAUGGCAACCAUCUUAGCCAAAUUUGACAUCGCUUGAAUCAAUUGGUUAUUAGUUGCAUUCAGUGUACCUACGUAUGAGUUAAGUUGUCGAAACUUUCACAUGAAUACGAAUGUUUGUAUUCAUUUUGUAAAUUUGAUUAAAUUGGUGAAAUCCUAGUAUAUUGUAUGGCCUUGGUGUGAUUUUAAAAAUUGUCGUCAACAUCAAAAUGACUUGUUUGCUACUCAUCAUAAAUGCCGCGUUUACUGCUCUUCAUAAUGUCGCCAAAUCCCAUGGGUACCGUAUACUAGGAUUAAAUCAAGUAAUGGAUAGCUUCCUACUGUUCACAGUUCUAAGAAUGAAUCAUAGAAACUUUUUGAAAAUUUGUAAAUAACUUAUUAAAAAAAUAAUUCUUCAACAAGUUUCAGAGGAAACGUUUUCUUUCUAUAAAUAAAAGAAAGUUCUAUUUCAAUUUUAGUUGUGAAACUUCUUCAGAAAAUGAAUCAGUAGUAUUAACAUUUGGAAUUGAAACUUCAAACUCAUGCUACGUUCAUAUAAAUUUAUACCAAAAUAAGAGUAACUAAAUUUUCUUUUACCAAUACUCUUCGAUUUUGGUUAUGAAUUUAAAAAUAAAUAGUUACACAGUCUCUCAUAAGUGAAACAGUAUGAACGUCAUAAAGGCAGUGAUGCCACGAUAUAAAAUAUAUAUGUACAAAAUAAUGAAUAAAAAAAUUAACAUUACUACUUAUUAUUCUCUGUUUUUUCUGGGCAAAUUUCUGUUACUGUUAUUAAUUAUUCUGCAUGAUUUCUAUGCAAAAUAAAGAGCUUUUGAUGAGUAA
Molecule: long non-coding RNA, 3264 nt
Organism: Stegodyphus dumicola
Lineage: Eukaryota; Metazoa; Arthropoda; Arachnida; Araneae; Eresidae
Source: RefSeq, a predicted model, not a curated record